This is a non-coding RNA of Cinara cedri, 318 nucleotides long. The record is from the annotation of a GenBank genome assembly. NCBI's taxonomy places the organism in Eukaryota, Metazoa, Arthropoda, Insecta, Hemiptera, Aphididae.
AAUGAAAAAACCAUUUUUUCCCCGUUUAUAUAUGUAUAUUUUACGCAGAGUACUCGACUCUUUAAUAGCAAGAUAAGCGGUUAAUUUAUUCGAAUCAUUUGAUUCGGAACACGUCAACCGACGUUUUCUGGUGGAUAAUAGUUAAUAAUAUUAAAAAAUAUAAUAAAAUAAAUAAAACACUUUUCUUACUUCUACUACCAUGGUUUUUAUUAAUUAUUUGUAUAGAUCAGAGGUUUCCAAAAUGGUCUGUAUACAGGGACGGAUCUAUAAAUAUGUAAUGUAAUGGGAGUGGGGCUAAUUUGUAUUUACAGAAAGGCA